This is a non-coding RNA of Cavia porcellus (domestic guinea pig), 66 nucleotides long. NCBI's taxonomy places the organism in Eukaryota, Metazoa, Chordata, Mammalia, Rodentia, Caviidae. The record is from Rfam.
GAUUUAGCUCAGUGGCAUAAGCACCUGCCUUGCAAGCAGGCAUCAUGAGUUCGAUCCUCGGUAUCG